UGCCAACUGUAAGAGGAAGUAUAAUGUGACGCCUGCCCGGUGCUCGAAGGUUAAGAGGAUGCGUCAGUCGCAAGAUGAAGCGUUGAAUUGAAGCCCGAGUAAACGGCGGCCGUAACUAUAACGGUCCUAAGGUAGCGAAAUUCCUUGUCGGUUAAAUACCGACCUGCAUGAAUGGCGUAACGAGAUGGGAGCUGUCUCAACCAGAGAUUCAGUGAAAUUGUAGUGGAGGUGAAAAUUCCUCCUACCCGCGGCAAGACGGAAAGACCCCGUGGACCUUUACUACAACUUAGCACUGCUAAUGGGAAUAUCAUGCGCAGGAUAGGUGGAGGCUUUGAAGUAAGGGCUUUGGCUCUUAUGGAG
RNAcentral lists this ribosomal RNA (360 nucleotides) under Helicobacter pylori. RNAcentral's name for it is "bacterial LSU rRNA". It matches the Rfam family "Bacterial large subunit ribosomal RNA", at positions 1824 to 2185 of the family's 2925-position model. Lineage: Bacteria; Pseudomonadati; Campylobacterota; Epsilonproteobacteria; Campylobacterales; Helicobacteraceae. The record is from RNAcentral.